RNAcentral lists this small nuclear RNA (21 nucleotides) under Arabidopsis thaliana (thale cress). Its description in RNAcentral is "snRNA_01304". Lineage: Eukaryota; Viridiplantae; Streptophyta; Magnoliopsida; Brassicales; Brassicaceae. The record is from RNAcentral.
CUGCUUAUGGUGGUAACUAGA